CAGACAUGCAUCUCUAUCAAGAAAACCAGCCGUUCCUUGUGAUGGGGCACUCCUUGGCUUAGUGGAGAAACCUCGCUAGGGUUUCCUUGAUUUCUGGGGUUUCAUCGUCUUCGAUCCUCUCAGGAGCUAGAGAAGCAAGGAAUCAAUUCAUAGCGUUCGAUUCUCCAAGGCAUUGGGUGCAAAGAAGGCCCUGUUGCCCUUCUUUGAGGGACUCCGUCACUCUCCUUUGGCUUUCCAAGCUUCUCUUAGGGUGCGGACCUAUGACAUUGGGCAACAACAAAGGCGCUUUCGUGGCCUUAUUGUCUAAGGCUGCCACAAUUGUGGCUCCAAAGAUAUUAAAGAAAACUAUCUUUGUAAUGCCAUAUAUAUGGUAUAUAUCAAGUAUGUUUUGUUUUCAUGGAUUGUUGAUUCUAAAGAUGAAAUGUAACCGUAUUGUGGUUCCAGUUGUGAUGUAUGAGAAUUUACAAUUUGGGCGAAAGCAAGGAUUCAUCGUGUGGACAUAUAGUGAAGUUACUGAGUUCUAUUGGGCUGAAUCUUAUGAUGCCAUAUUUCUCAUAUGGCGAUCAAGCCCUUAGCUGAUAGAGUUCUUGUUAAGAUCAACUCUUUU
Dioscorea cayenensis subsp. rotundata (Guinea yam) is the source of this 607-nucleotide long non-coding RNA. RefSeq lists it as uncharacterized. NCBI's taxonomy places the organism in Eukaryota, Viridiplantae, Streptophyta, Magnoliopsida, Dioscoreales, Dioscoreaceae. The record is from RefSeq and is a predicted model, not a curated record. The transcript has 3 exons.